This is a long non-coding RNA of Salvelinus sp. IW2-2015, 702 nucleotides long. RefSeq lists it as uncharacterized. The record is from RefSeq and is a predicted model, not a curated record. Lineage: Eukaryota; Metazoa; Chordata; Actinopteri; Salmoniformes; Salmonidae.
AAAAAAGCAGUGCCACUUCUGACGAGUAAGAGAAAAGAAGGCAUAGGGAAACAUCCCGGGUGCAAAUGAGUGGAGUGUAUUCAUCAGGCCAGGUGUUUAUCCUGGCACAGAGAGAGGGGAGGAGAGGAGCUCUCAGGGAGGGAGCAUCACAGUGCACACACUACAGAUAGCAGGGAGAGGAGAAGACACUCACCCUUCUAUUCUACUUUUCCACUCCUUCUCUCAAGGCAACAGCCCAGAGUCCUUACCUCAACAAAGAUAAACAGAACAGCCUGGCCAGAGUGGCUGCCUGGCCUGCCUGACAACCUAUGGACCGAGGGCCAAGGACCCGGUUGUCCCUCUGGAUGUCACCCUGCUACAGCAGUGUGGCAUCCUCAAAUCACUGGGACCAAACAGAGGAGAGAGAUUCUAAACACAGACAAACGUGUCUGUCUCAYCCAGCCUAUGCCUUCCCAGCAAUCUAAAACAGAAGCAACCACCACCACAAUGAUUCAAAUAACCCAGGCAGCAAAGACAAGCCCAGGGAUGAUCAUUUUAUGACAGUUAUGAUGGCAAGGUCUGUACUGCAAUUAUGAUGGAAAAAAUUAUUGGGCAAAAUAAUACAUUCCAUAAAUCUAACACAGAGUGCUGUAAAUCAUUGGGCUUUGUAAGAAUAAAAUAUAUAUUUAUCUGUAUCUGUCAAUUAUAGGAUUUAAACAUCCA